RNAcentral lists this unclassified non-coding RNA (1323 nucleotides) under uncultured Neocallimastigales. RNAcentral's name for it is "partial contains small subunit ribosomal RNA, internal transcribed spacer 1, 5.8S ribosomal RNA, internal transcribed spacer 2, and large subunit ribosomal RNA". The stretch from base 544 to 1323 matches the Rfam family "Eukaryotic large subunit ribosomal RNA", at positions 1 to 630 of the family's 3401-position model. The record is from RNAcentral. Lineage: Eukaryota; Fungi; Neocallimastigomycota; Neocallimastigomycetes; Neocallimastigales.
UUUCCGUAGGUGAACCUGCGGAAGGAUCAUUAAAAAUGUCUAGCCAUUGUUUGUGUGAAACAAUAAUCAUCCUACCCUUGUGAAUUUGUUGUUUGUCAAUAAUUUUUUAAAAAGACCUUUUUUAAAACUAAACUUUUUGUAUUCAUUUGUCUAAAAAUUAUUUUUAUAAUAUAAAAACAACUUUUGACAAUGGAUCUCUUGGUUCUCGCAACGAUGAAGAACGCAGCAAAAUGCGAUAAGUAGUGUGAAUUGCAGAAUACGUGAAUCAUCGAAUCUUCGAACGCAUAUUGCACUUUUUUAGUUUACUAAAAAAGUAUGUCUGUUUGAGUAUCAGUAAAAUAUUCUCAUAAAAAACAUUGUUUUUUAUGGUUAUGAGUGUUUUACAACGAUACAAGUUGUUUCACUUUAAAUUUUUUUAAAAUUUGAAUUUUUCUAAUUUUAAAAUAAAAUUGGAUAAAAUUUUCCCGUAAAAAGGAAUAACCUAAACAAUUUUAAUUUUUGAUUAGAAAAUCCAAACUAAAAGGAAAAUUUAACUAAAUAACUUGAUCUCAAAUCAGAUAAGAGUACCCGCUGAACUUAAGCAUAUCAAUAAGCGGAGGAAAAGAAACUAACAAGGAUUCCCUUAGUAACGGCGAGUGAAGCGGGAAGAGCUCAAAUUUGAAAUCUUCAAGGUUUUACCUUGACGAAUUGUAGUUUAAAGAAGUGUUUUCUGUUGAAGUUUUGGUAAAAGUUCUUUGGAAUAGGACAUCAUAGAGGGUGAGAAUCCCGUAUUUGACCAUUAUUUUCAGCUGUGUGAUACACUUUCAAAGAGUCGGAUUGUUUGGGAAUGCAGUCCAAUAUGGGUGGUAAAUUUCAUCUAAAGCUAAAUAUUGGCGAGAGACCGAUAGCGAACAAGUACCGUGAGGGAAAGAUGAAAAGAACUUUGAAAAGAGAGUUAAACAGUACGUGAAAUUGUCAAAAGGGAAGCGUUUGACACCAGUGUUGUUUUCUCGAAAAUCAAUUAAAAAAAGUUGGAUUUUGUGUUGUAUUGACCUUAACAGCUUGCUUCACUCUUUUCCUGCUUUUUUUAAUGCACUUUUCGUUUAACAAGUCAACAUCAGUUUCUUUUGUUGUAAAAGGGUCAUUGGAAGGUGGCUUUCUCUUCGGAGAAAGUGUUUAUAGCCUUUGAUCUCUGCAAUCGGAGAGACUGAGGUCUGCAGCGUAGAUCCUUCGGGGUUAGAUACAUUUGUGCUAAGCUACAGCUUUUCAUAGACAACUUGUUGACUAUGUUUAGUCUUGUGACUUACCCGCUUAUGCUAUUUUACCUACGCUUAGGAUGUUGAA